CAGUGCUCAAUUUGCUGAUCAAGACUACAACAGAUCAGUCAUUACAAUAGUGGCUUCUGUUGAUAAGUUGGGCAGUUCUGUUCUGGCUGCUUUCUUGGAGGCCUUCCAUGCUAUUGAUACGGAGGUUCAAGGGGGAUCCACCCUUGCCUGGGUGCAGUGGACCUGAUCCCCAUUUUCCCUCUCUCUGGUGUGGGAGUGGAAGAGUGCGGAGCAGUGACCAGAAGCCUUGCUGCGGAUCUGGUUCUGCACGUACCUGGCUGUAGUGUGUUUCUCUUCGGUGAAGCUGACCUGCCUGAGAAGCGCAGUCCUGUCCAGAGAAGGAAGCAACUGGGCUGGUUCACAGGGCGGGAUUUCAGUGCUCUUAGCCUGACUUG
This 374-nucleotide long non-coding RNA is filed under the name Castor canadensis (American beaver). Its description in RNAcentral is "lncRNA (ENSCCNG00000019237.1)". The record is from RNAcentral. Lineage: Eukaryota; Metazoa; Chordata; Mammalia; Rodentia; Castoridae.